Molecule: long non-coding RNA, 471 nt
Organism: Osmia lignaria (orchard mason bee)
Lineage: Eukaryota; Metazoa; Arthropoda; Insecta; Hymenoptera; Megachilidae
Source: RefSeq, a predicted model, not a curated record
UUUUGUUUGCAUCAGGUAUGGUGCUGCGCCAUGCAGCUAACUCAUGCAAAAGAGUGGAAAUCUAUAAAAAACAUCCAUAUUAGCGUAUUCAAGAAUCCAUCGACAUCCACUUUAGCAUAUACAAGAACCCAUGGACUUCUAUAAAUAACUAAAACUUAAAACAAGAGGCGUGUUGUAACGAAGCUGACAAGUCGUCUUCCCAUUUCGCCCAAUCAGAAUCGCCGUUAUCGAUGAUGUGUGCAGGUCUGACUCAUUACGUCACUUCCUUCCGCAACUAAGAGGUACCAGAAGUACGAAAAACAGAAGGUAAAUUUGAAGAGAAGUCAAGAUUCAUGUUUUCUGACAUCAAUUCCACGUGGUCUACAGAGAAGCUUAAGGUGAAACAGCAGCUGAAUUACUUUUCUUUUAUAUCAAUAAUUUCUUGAAUAUUAUUACAUCUUUUUAUGUUUUUAAUACAUUUUUUCUACAAUU